AGAGGAUCCCUGAAAAAUCUCAAAGGAUUUGUCUCUCACCUUGUAAACAAGUGACAUUAAACUAAUUAGGGCGAUUUGGUAUGUUCAAUUACUGGGAAGCAUUGUCAGGCAGGUUUUACUCUGAUGCUUUCACAAAGAUGCUUCAUCUUCAGAGAGUCAUGAGAGGACUUUGACAGGUACUCUGGAGUACAGGUUUCUAAUAAGAUCAUGAAACAACUUGAAUUCGAAAUUUAAUCUGUUUUUAGCAUCGGGACCCUUUAUGAUGGAUAUAAAUGGUGGCUAACACAAUGUGACUCAGAAAGAAAGAUUGACAGUCUAUGUUAGUCUCCUGAUUUACAACUUAUUUCACUCUCCUAAAUCAACAUCAAGAAAAGGAAACAAGAUAUUAGCCAUGACAUCUUGCCAUUUUCUGUUUGGAUAAAAAUAGUGUGAGGGUAGUGUCUUGCCUGAGUCAUCUUUUGAUUAUACCAGAUUCCUGACCUCUUCUUGGUAGGCACAGGUUCAAGCCCAAGGCUCCAGGCUGAAAACUGGAUUUUUAGGAGGUGACUGAGGUUAAAUGAAAACAUAGGGCUGGGCCCUAAUCCAAUAGCACCGUAUCCUCAUAAGAUGAGAGCAAGCAAGAUAUCCCAGGUCAUCUACGGGCCAGGAAGAGAGCUCCCACAAGAGAACUCAACCACGCUGGCUUCCAGCCUCUGCAACUCUGAGAAAUUAUGCUUGUGUUGUUCAGCCACCUGGUCUCGGGAGACUUGCCUGGAAGACCUAGAUCCGCACUCUCACCUCCUGCACAAACUCCAAAAGGGUGGGCUCCUGCAAGGGGCCUCUAGGAACUCCUCUGGAGACCUGGCCUAUCCAAAUAGGCCUCACCUAAUACUGCUUUGUAAUGAAAUCUUUUCUUUGCUCUCAAGACCACUGAGUAGUUGAAGCCCAUAGGCUCUAAACAUAGAGCCAACUACGCAACUUGGUCAUAACACAGCUAUCAGAAAUGAUGUGCCAGUCCUCCGUUUAAAAUACAAAGUUGGAAUCCAGUAAUAUGUGUAUAAAGUAUAAGAAUGUUACCUGUGUCUGGGAAGCCCAGCUAAGGAAGGACUCAUCACUUGUAUUACGGCAGGACGGUAACUAGCUGGUCCCAGAGAGGGUUUGCUGGCUGAACUUCCACAAAAGGCUGAGGAAUUUGGUCAAGUGCCCAUCUCUGCUGAGACCAGCUACCCUUGACAUAGCCUGUCAAGAAAAAGCCACUGGACCUAGUGACCCUCCUGCCCCCAAUCGGUAGUGAGCACCUGAGUUGAGGAGAAAAAAACCCUUACUUAUCUUUGUUGUCUAGUUUUAUUUUACCAAUUUCUCAUGAGCUUGUGGUCUCUAUAGAAGAUUUCUUCAUUUAAAGGAAAAAAAAAAAGAAUCUGAUCUUAACACUUUGAUUAAAGUAUUGAUUAAACUAAAUACAUGAUUAGGGGGUGCCUGGGUGGCUUAGUCAGUUGGGCAUCCAACUUCGGCUUGGGUCAUGAUCUUGCGGUUCGUGGGUUCGAGCCCUGCGUCGGGCUCUGUGCUGACGGCUCAAAGCCUGGAGCCUGCUUCCGAUUCUGUGUCUCCCUCUCUCUCUGCUCCUCCCCUACUCAUGCUCUGUCUCUCUCUCUCUCAAAAAUAAACAAACAUUAAAAAAAAUAAAUACAUGAUUAGAAAAUCAAUCUCUAAUUAGUAUGGUAGAGGGGAUUAUGUAUCAGUCCUCAGCAGAGAAUUACAGACGCAUUCCACAAACAUAACCAUCCGUACCACCUUGCCUUCCUCCCAUGACUCGCCAAAUAACUCCUUCUGAGACUCAAUGGCUUUAGUAAAUCAGCGUCAGAAGAUCAAGGCAGAAAUUAGGUAGAUCUCCUAGAACUACAGACCAGAAAAAAAGGCAUUUUCAGAACAUUUUCCUAUUUUUUACUCAUUCUAGUUCUUUACGUUGUACUCAUUUCUGUCAAUGGAAGCCAGGCUACACUAUGUAAGGAUGAAGCAAACCAUCUCACUUUGGAGGAGUUGGAAGUCCUUUGUCACUCAGCAGGCCUCAGACACCUCUACUACCUGAGCCCUAAGCUAAAGGAGUUUCCUCACCACCUUGGUUAUCAACUAAUAUUCCUUCUUAUCUCACCAAGAAAGUAUACUUUGUCAAAGAAUUUAAAAAUCACCGUGGACAGUUUUCUCGGUGCUGUGUGUGGGUACACACACAGAUGGGCUGGAACCCUGGGCCUGCUGAAGAACACUCCUUGGAAUUUUAAUUCCCCUAACCUAAACUCACAAGCAGACUCCCAGAAAUAGGCGGAGUUUGUUUCAGUCGCUUACAUCUGGUGUGUGGGCAGCCAUAUUGACAGACUCACAUGAACAGGUGUAGGGACAAAGGAAAGGUAUACUCUCUGAGAAUGCGAAGGACAACUUCUUACACUUGGAAGAAGCCUCACUCUCCAUGCAUGGAAUCUGCCAUAACUGUGCUUUAGGGAGCCAGGGAAGAUAUGCCGACAUCUAAGAUCUCUCGUUUACUGUAAUCUACCCCCAAUUACUUCAUUAGUCCGUGGUCACAACCAAGCUAUUUAUCAAAACCACCUAAUUCUAAAUUUCUAAUGCCAGCUAUCCUGAACCAAAAAUUGAGAUUUAGACAAGUUACUGUGCCAUCAUUCAACAAAUGCUGCACUGAGUAUUACUCCAUGGUUUGAGUGUUAUAUCCUGUUCCCACCUGCUCCAUUCCUCACCCUCAGGCCCAAUAAACCCGGUGCUUAUUCGUUCCAAAUAUAUGCUUGUGUUUGUAUUGUUCUUUCCCUAAGAAUUGCCUGUCACCUUCUCUGUGGAGCUUUUUCUCUGGCCUCAAAACACAUCAGAUUCCACAGCACAAAGAGCU
Molecule: long non-coding RNA, 2869 nt
Organism: Felis catus (domestic cat)
Lineage: Eukaryota; Metazoa; Chordata; Mammalia; Carnivora; Felidae
Exons: 4
Source: RefSeq, a predicted model, not a curated record